Molecule: unclassified non-coding RNA, 354 nt
Filed under: soil metagenome
Description: partial contains 5.8S ribosomal RNA, internal transcribed spacer 2, and large subunit ribosomal RNA
Rfam family: 5.8S ribosomal RNA (bases 1-120)
Source: RNAcentral
GAUGAAGAACGUAGCGAAAUGCGAUAAGUAAUGUGAAUUGCAGAAUUCAGUGAAUCAUCGAAUCUUUGAACGCACAUUGCGCCCUCUGGUAUUCCGGGGGGCAUGCCUGUCCGAGCGUCAUUUCUGCCCUCCAGCCCGGCUGGGUGUUGGGCGCUGUCCCCCCGGGGACACGCCCCAAAGGCAGUGGCGGCGCCGCGUCGGGUCCUCGAGCGUAUGGGGCUUUGUCACCCGCUCGGGACGGACUCGUCGGCGCUGGUCUUCCUCCAGGCGACCCUUCGGGGCUCGUCUUCCUUCGGUUGACCUCGGAUCAGGUAGGGUUACCCGCUGAACUUAAGCAUAUCAAUAAGCGGAGGA